Long non-coding RNA from Alosa sapidissima (American shad), 212 nucleotides. RefSeq lists it as uncharacterized. The transcript is spliced from 4 exons. NCBI's taxonomy places the organism in Eukaryota, Metazoa, Chordata, Actinopteri, Clupeiformes, Clupeidae. The record is from RefSeq and is a predicted model, not a curated record.
GAACUGGAACUAAUUUGAGAACAUUUGGCUAUCUGAGACCUAUAUCUGGAGUUGUCCAUACCCACACUAUGGCUUGGGAGGCGAUUGAAUUAGGGUGCAAUUUGAAGUACGACCCGAUUCAAAGAAUGCUGGCAGUGAAACAUGAAGGCAGUUAUUUUGUUCACCUGACACUCCAGUUUAGGGCCACAGCGUUAGACACUGUCAGAGCAGGG